UUUAAAUCUUUAAACCCUAAAACAAGUUUUUAAACCCUAAACUCUAAAUACAAAUUUUAAACUCUAUUUUAACAUCAAAUCUUAAAUUUAACUUCAAAUGUUAGAUAUAAACUCAAAAAUUAAUCAUUUCCAAAAAUUUAUCUCAAAUCUUAAAAUCAAUAUCCCAAACCUUUAACUUUUAAACCAUAUACUCAUACAUUUAUUCUAAACUCAAAAUUUUAAAUAUAAAGUAAUUAAAAAAAAUAUCAACACUAAAUAAAAAUUCAAAAAUUAUUUCUUUUUCAAAAAUUAAUAUUAAAUCAAUACUCUAAACCUUUAAUCCUCAAACCCUAUACUCAAACCUUUAUUCCAAACUCAAAC
This 360-nucleotide long non-coding RNA is filed under the name Brassica napus (rape). RNAcentral describes it as "long non-coding RNA (BNAP_LNC015634)". Lineage: Eukaryota; Viridiplantae; Streptophyta; Magnoliopsida; Brassicales; Brassicaceae. The record is from RNAcentral.